Molecule: unclassified non-coding RNA, 211 nt
Filed under: plant metagenome
Description: partial contains small subunit ribosomal RNA, internal transcribed spacer 1, and 5.8S ribosomal RNA
Source: RNAcentral
UUUCCGUAGGUGAACCUGCGGAAGGAUCAUUCAUAAUAAAGUGUUUUAUGGCACUUUUUAAAAAUCCAUAUCCACCUUGUGUGCAAUGUUAGAUCUCGUCAAUCUUGGCGAGAUUUUUUUACAUCAACUCAUUCUUUAACUAAUUUGUCUGAAAAAUAUUAUGAAUACUUAAUUCAAAAUACAACUUUCAACAACGGAUCUCUUGGCUCUC